GGGAGCCUGAGAAACGGCUACCACAUCCAAGGAUGGCAGCAGGCGCGCAAAUUACCCAAUCCCGACACGGGGAGGUAGUGACAAUAAAUAACAAUACGGGGUUCUUUAGGAUCUCGUAAUUGGAAUGAGUACAAUUUAAAUCUCUUAACGAGGAACAAUUGGAGGGCAAGUCUGGUGCCAGCAGCCGCGGUAAUUCCAGCUCCAAUAGCGUAUAUUAAAGUUGUUGCAGUUAAAAAGCUCGUAGUUGAAUUUCGGGGUUAGUAGGUUGGUCAUGCCUCUGGUAUGUACUGGUCUCACUGAUUCCUCCUUCCUUAUGAACCGUAAUGCCAUUAAUUUGGUGUUGCGGGGAAUUUGGACUGUUACUUUGAAAAAAUUAGAGUGUUUAAAGCAAGCUAACGCUUGAAUACAUUAGCAUGGAAUAAUGAAAUAGGACGUUCGAUCUUAUUUUGUUGGUUUCUAGGAUUGACGUAAUGAUUAAUAGGGAUAGUUGGGGGCAUUAGUAUUCAAUUGUCAGAGGUGAAAUUCUUGGAUUUAUUGAAGACUAACUACUGCGAAAGCAUUUGCCAAGGAUGUUUUCAUUAAUCAAGAACGAAAGUUAGGGGAUCGAAGACGAUCAGAUACCGUCGUAGUCUUAACCAUAAACUAUGCCGACUAGGGAUCGGAUGAUGUUAAUUUUUUAAUGACUCAUUCGGCGCCUUACGGGAAA
Molecule: ribosomal RNA, 706 nt
Filed under: uncultured fungus
Lineage: Eukaryota; Fungi
Description: SSU rRNA
Rfam family: Eukaryotic small subunit ribosomal RNA
Source: RNAcentral